This 403-nucleotide ribosomal RNA is filed under the name uncultured beta proteobacterium. Its description in RNAcentral is "bacterial SSU rRNA". It matches the Rfam family "Bacterial small subunit ribosomal RNA", at positions 199 to 594 of the family's 1533-position model. The record is from RNAcentral. Lineage: Bacteria; Pseudomonadati; Pseudomonadota; Betaproteobacteria.
GGGGAUCGUAAGACCUUGCGUUAAUGGAGCGGCCGAUAUCUGAUUAGCUUGUUGGUGAGGUAAAGGCUCACCAAGGCGACGAUCAGUAGCUGGUUUGAGAGAACGACCAGCCACACUGGAACUGAGACACGGUCCAGACUCCUACGGGAGGCAGCAGUGGGGAAUUUUGGACAAUGGGGGCAACCCUGAUCCAGCCAUUCCGCGUGAGUGAAGAAGGCCUUCGGGUUGUAAAGCUCUUUCGCAAGGGAAGAAAACUUAUGAUCGAAUAAAUCAUGAGGUUGACGGUACCUUGAUAAGAAGCACCGGCUAACUACGUGCCAGCAGCCGCGGUAAUACGUAGGGUGCGAGCGUUAAUCGGAAUUACUGGGCGUAAAGCGUGCGCAGGCGGUUUGAAUGUCGGAUG